GGCCAGUUAGCUCAGCCAGUUGAGCGUGGUGCUAACAACGUCAAGGUCGCGAGUUCAAUUCCCGUUUGGUCC
Molecule: transfer RNA, 72 nt
Filed under: Apaloderma vittatum (bar-tailed trogon)
Lineage: Eukaryota; Metazoa; Chordata; Aves; Trogoniformes; Trogonidae
Rfam family: tRNA
About the family: Transfer RNA (tRNA) molecules are approximately 80 nucleotides in length. Their secondary structure includes four short double-helical elements and three loops (D, anti-codon, and T loops). Further hydrogen bonds mediate the characteristic L-shaped molecular structure. tRNAs have two regions of fundamental functional importance: the anti-codon, which is responsible for specific mRNA codon recognition, and the 3' end, to which the tRNAs corresponding amino acid is attached (by aminoacyl-tRNA synthetases). tRNAs cope with the degeneracy of the genetic code in two manners: having more than one tRNA (with a specific anti-codon) for a particular amino acid; and 'wobble' base-pairing, i.e. permitting non-standard base-pairing at the 3rd anti-codon position.
Source: Rfam by way of RNAcentral